CAGAGGUCCCAAGCGUUGUUCGGAUUCACUGGGCGUAAAGGGUGCGUAGGUGGUCGGGUAAGUCUGAUGUGAAAUCUCUGGGCUCAACCCAGAAAUGGCAUUGGAUACUAUUCGGCUAGAGGAGUGGAGGGGGGACUGGAAUACUUGGUGUAGCAGUGAAAUGCGUAGAUAUCAAGUGGAACACCAGUGGCGAAGGCGAGUCCCUGGACACUUCCUGACACUGAGGCACGAAAGCUAGGGGAGCAAACAGGAUUAGAUACCCUGGUAGUCCUAGCCCUAAACUGUGCACGUUUGCUGUAAAAGGAAUCGACCCCUUUUGUGGCGAAGCUAACGCGUUAAACGUGCCGCCUGGGGAGUACGGUCGCAAGAUUA
Molecule: ribosomal RNA, 372 nt
Filed under: uncultured organism
Description: bacterial SSU rRNA
Rfam family: Bacterial small subunit ribosomal RNA
Source: RNAcentral